UGGCCACAUCACGCUGAAACACCGUAUCCCAUAUGGUCACUGAAGAUAAACAACGUCGAUACUGGUCAGUACUUAGAUGGGUGACCGUUUGGGAAUACUAGGU
This is a non-coding RNA of Acanthosepion pharaonis, 103 nucleotides long. NCBI's taxonomy places the organism in Eukaryota, Metazoa, Mollusca, Cephalopoda, Sepiida, Sepiidae. The record is from the annotation of a GenBank genome assembly.